RNAcentral lists this ribosomal RNA (394 nucleotides) under uncultured bacterium. RNAcentral describes it as "bacterial SSU rRNA". It matches the Rfam family "Bacterial small subunit ribosomal RNA", at positions 129 to 518 of the family's 1533-position model. The record is from RNAcentral.
CCCUAGCGACAGGGAUAACGGUUGGAAACGACUGCUAAUACUGGAUAGUAUAUCGGACCGCAUGAAUCUGAUAUUUAAAAGCUGUGAAAGCGCGCUAGGAUGGCCCUGCGGCGCAUUAGAUAGUGGUGAGGUAACGGCCCACCAAGUCUGUGAUGCGUAGCUGCACUGAGAGGUGAAACAGCCACAUUGGGACUGAGACACGGCCCAAACUCCUACGGGGAGGCAGCAGGUAGGGAAUUUUCGGCAAUGGGCGAAAGCCUGACCGAGCAAUGGGUGCGUGAACGAUGAAGAUCCUUGGAUUGUAAAGUUCUUUUAUUGGGGAUGAAAAAACGUGAAGAGCGUAAUUGACAGUACCCAUUGAAUAAGCCCCGGCCAACUAUGUGCCAGCCGCGGC